RNAcentral lists this ribosomal RNA (497 nucleotides) under uncultured bacterium. Its description in RNAcentral is "partial 16S ribosomal RNA". It matches the Rfam family "Bacterial small subunit ribosomal RNA", at positions 28 to 507 of the family's 1533-position model. The record is from RNAcentral.
GAUGAACGCUGGCGGCGUGCCUAAUACAUGCAAGUCGAGCGAACGGACGAGAAGCUUGCUUCUCUGAUGUUAGCGGCGGACGGGUGAGUAACACGUGGAUAACCUACCUAUAAGACUGGGAUAACUUCGGGAAACCGGAGCUAAUACCGGAUAAUAUUUUGAACCGCAUGGUUCAAAAGUGAAAGACGGUCUUGCUGUCACUUAUAGAUGGAUCCGCGCUGCAUUAGCUAGUUGGUAAGGUAACGGCUUACCAAGGCAACGAUGCAUAGCCGACCGGAGAGGGUGAUCGGCCACACUGGAACUGAGACACGGUCCAGACUCCUACGGGAGGCAGCAGUAGGGAAUCUUCCGCAAUGGGCGAAAGCCUGACGGAGCAACGCCGCGUGAGUGAUGAAGGUCUUCGGAUCGUAAAACUCUGUUAUUAGGGAAGAACAUAUGUGUAAGUAACUGUGCACAUCUUGACGGUACCUAAUCAGAAAGCCACGGCUAACUACGUG